UCUACCACUGACAACAUCGAGGCGCCACCGUCAACAGGGGGCGGCUGAGGGGAGGCCGGGGUCGCUGCUAGGGGCAGCCCUGGGGGCUGGCGGGGCCCUUGGAGCGGGGCCCGCGGCCAGUUGGGUGCCGGGGGAAGGGGCCCGGCCGGCCGUGCCCGGUGCCGGGGGAAGGGCCCGGCCGCGGCCCCAGGGCCCGGCCACAGCGCAUGCGUCAGGGCGGGGUGUGCGCGGGCCGGCCGGCAGGGGGCGCCAGCGAGCCGCGCGCUUCACGCAUGCGCCGUGCGUCCUUGCGGCGGCCUCCGACGGCCCACACAGGCCGGCCCGGCCCGGCCCGGCCCCACCGGGCUCCCCAGAGACCCCGCGGGGCAGCGCCGCCAGGCGGCGGCGGCAACGGCAACAGCGCGCAGGCGACAGGACAGAAGUGACGGGCGGCGCGCUGAUGUCGCCACCGGAAGCACUGUGACGCUACUUCCGGCUGGUCGGGCUGUCAUGGCGGCUUGGGGCUCAGAUGGUCGCCGACAAGAAGAACCCAGGGACGAGCAGCGGUUGGGUGAACGUCGGGCGGGCUCGGUGUGCCCCCGGCGCGGGGCGACGGAGCCUCGUCCGUCCCGGCGCAGCCCAGUUUCCCGUCCCGCUCACCCCCACAGGCUCGCGGCGCCCCCGGCCUUGCCGGCGGAGGGGUGCCCGGCUUUAAAUGACGUCAUCUCAGGCUGGUACUGACGCUUUUUACACUUUGUUUUAUUUAUCCAGUUCUCUGGGACCAGCAUGCUCAGUGUAAAGAGUUGCGGUCACUUCUGUCUGUGUAUUUUACGUUUUGUUCUUUUUGCAGAAAUAUUUUGUCUAUUUACUCUCAUCCGUCUCCACCCCACCCCCAAUUUUGUAUAAUUUUACAGCCUCUAAUUGCAACAAAUAGCUGAAUAAAGUAGUGAUUGAAGUCAAACUAAGUGUCUCAUCACACAACCCUUUGGAAGAGAAACAAACACCCCAAACGCCCUCGGGUGGUUUGCGGUCUCUCUGGGGUGACUGGGUAAAUCCUCAGGAAAUCUCACAUUUUUCAUGUUGUUCCUGCAAGUUAAUACCUUGAAACGUCAUCUUCAAACAGAGGAAAAUGUUCUAAUUUGUAACAAGAGCAAGCUGACAGCAGGUAGUUUUUUCCUCUCAGUUGUUGUAAUCCUUUCCCUUGGUUAUAUUUAAUGUAGAAAAAAUCUAUAUACUUACAGCGGUGGAUGGUACAUAUGUGAGCCAUUGUUUGGUAAACAGGUGAGAUUCCUGUUAUUUGUAAAGUAAUUUUAUUUCCUUUUUUUUGGUGCUGUUGCUGUUCCUAUCCAAUAUUUUUGCAUCGGGUUAUAGAACAACUGAAGAAAAGGUCCGUGUGGUGGCAGCUGCUGCCGAAACAUGAAGCAGAAUUCAUGGGUGUCUGUCACCUGCCAAAUAAGGCAGCUGGAACAGCCUAUCUGCAGCAAACCUGACAAGCGCACUAGAUCUCCGCUACGUCACGAGCGUUUGGUUGAAGAUGUGCGUUCAGGCUCACGCCCUGGAGAAAAGCAUUACUGUCGUGUACCACAUUUCACAAGCAGUGAUAUAUUCAAUAAGAACAUAAGAAUUCACGCUGUGGAAAUGGGCUUUGCAAUCAGUGUGGCCUUGAGCCACCCCCUGGGUGUGACGGCUCGGGGUGGUACCAAACUUCUACCUUUUCGAUGUCACCCAUAAGGUACUUGCAGGCGAUGCUGGGAAGGCCCUUCCAGUGGAGCGUGAAGACGACAUCUUUGCCUAUGUCCACGGAGGGACCUGCAGCCAAAGGAGAAGAGUGAAUGCCUGCAAAAAGAGCCGGCAGUGAAGGCAGUACAGUGGUCAGACCCCUUGGAAGAAAAUAUCCUGUCGUUUGCUUGAGCAUGUAAUACGAGUUUUACCAGAGAACAGUGAAUCGCAGGCUGCUUUUUUACCCCGAAGAGCAGGAAGUUCUCACUUUUAGACAAAAUGGUUUUAAGUUUUGGCAGCUCAGUUUGAAGAAGGUGGGGACUGAUCAAUGAUGACAAUUCUGUGGAGUCACUGAUUUGUUUAAGUGCAACAGCUGCAGCAAUGAUGAAGCCAACUAACAACAGGAUAUCUGAGAGUUCAGCAAGAGAAACGAAGAGUUGAAAUGCUGCUGAAUUCCCACGGCGAAGGUGGACCUUGGCACGUUGUUACAGAACGCAGAGUCAUUGUCGCAGCUGCCACUGCAGUCUCUUUUGUGAGAGUGUCAAAUGAAUAUACCCCGGAGCCAGACAAAACCACAGAGCUCUCCGGUUCCAGGCCCAGGGUCUGACAGGGCUGUUGUACGAGAUGUUUGAACUGAGCAAAUAUAAAAAGGAGGUGGGGUGGCUGUUUUCUUUACAUCUUUCCCCGUCUUAAAAGGAGACAUGUAAAACCAUUCUUCAUGUCUGUGUUGGCUCUUAAAAGCCUUAAAUAAUGUGGAAAAAAGGCUUAAAGCUUAAAAAAAAGCUUAAAGCGUAAAAGCCUAAAAUCUCUGGGGCAAUCAGUUGCAUUCCAACACUGUUAAAUAGUUAAGGGUCAUUUUGCCAGAGUGAAAAAUGUCAAAGUAUUUUGACUGUACAAUUUCUGCUUUUUAAAUUAAACUAAUAAUAAUUCAGCUUACUCGCCUAAGGAGAAGGGAGUGGAAUCUCCUAGCAGUCUACCAGCCUGUUACUUACUGUGUACCAUUCCGGUUUGUAAAUUGGAAUAACCCCAGGCACCAGUACCUGCUGGGGCUGACCAGCUGGAAAGCAGCUUUGCAGAGGGCCUGGGGCUGCUGCUAGACGCUAGCCCUGGGCCAGGAACAUGCCCUUGCAGCAAAGGCAGCCAAGAGGCUGCAUUAAGAAUCGUUGCCAGCAUGUCCAGGGGGGUGAUGAGCACUGGGGAGACGCCUGGGGGUGUCUAGGCUCCCCACGGUAAGACAGGGACAUAGUGACAUGAGUCCAGCAAAGGGCCACGAAGAUAUUAAGUGUCUGUUGUACCAGCAGAGUCUGAGAGCUGGGACUGUUUAGCCUGGAGAAGAGACAGCUCCAGGAGGAAUCUCGGUGUGUAUGAACACCUGCUGCUCAGACUAAAGAUGGAUCCAGACUCUUCAGAGUGGUGCCUAGCGAAAGGAAAAGUAGCGGACACAAUUUGAAAUACGGGAAUUGCCACUUGAACAAAAAACCCAUAGUGAGUGUGAUCAAGCACUGCAACAGGAUGCCCAGAAAGGUUGUGGGACAUCCUUGGAGAUACUCAAAACCCAACUGGACGCAGUCCUGGAGAACCUGCUCUAGGUGACCUCGCUGUGAGCA
Molecule: long non-coding RNA, 3305 nt
Organism: Chroicocephalus ridibundus (black-headed gull)
Lineage: Eukaryota; Metazoa; Chordata; Aves; Charadriiformes; Laridae
Exons: 6
Source: RefSeq, a predicted model, not a curated record